AGAACUAUAGCGCGGAUAGUAAUUGACAAAGACAUAUCCCCGAGCCUGAUCAAUGCAGUGGAAAAGUGGGUUCCAGUCGAACAUCGCCAGCAUGAAACCCGGCAGGGUGUUGGCGACAAACAUCUUGCCCGAGGCGAUCAUAUUGGCCCGUUG
This 153-nucleotide non-coding RNA is filed under the name Sulfitobacter mediterraneus. RNAcentral's name for it is "Ruegeria cis2 sRNA". It matches the Rfam family "Ruegeria cis2 sRNA". From Rfam's summary of the family: Cis-encoded. Targets ABC transporter. The record is from Rfam by way of RNAcentral. Lineage: Bacteria; Pseudomonadati; Pseudomonadota; Alphaproteobacteria; Rhodobacterales; Roseobacteraceae.